UACAGAGGGUGCGAGCGUUAAUCGGAAUUACUGGGCGUAAAGCGCGCGUAGGCGGUUUGAUAAGUUGGAUGUGAAAUCCCCGGGCUUAACCUGGGCACUGCAUUCAAAACUAUCAGGCUAGAGUAUGGGAGAGGAUGGUAGAAUUCCAGGUGUAGCGGUGAAAUGCGUAGAGAUCUGGAGGAAUACCGAUGGCGAAGGCAGCCAUCUGGCCUAAUACUGACGCUGAGGUGCGAAAGCAUGGGGAGCAAACAGG
This 253-nucleotide ribosomal RNA is filed under the name uncultured bacterium. Its description in RNAcentral is "partial 16S ribosomal RNA". It matches the Rfam family "Bacterial small subunit ribosomal RNA", at positions 524 to 776 of the family's 1533-position model. The record is from RNAcentral.